UCCUGACAACCACAUUGGGUGGUUGACACUAGCCACGACAGGAGUUUGAAAUG
Molecule: non-coding RNA, 53 nt
Submitted as: unclassified sequences
Source: Rfam